This 352-nucleotide long non-coding RNA is filed under the name Linum usitatissimum (flax). RNAcentral's name for it is "long non-coding RNA (LUSI_LNC001227)". Lineage: Eukaryota; Viridiplantae; Streptophyta; Magnoliopsida; Malpighiales; Linaceae. The record is from RNAcentral.
CGAAUGCUGCCACUUGUUUGACUGCUGAACGGUUCGGGACAGGUAGCAUCCGUGCUUGGUUCCGGUAAAGCCAGCAAAUCUCCAAGUGAUUGGCUCCUUUUCAGUGCAUUACUUGCCGAAUUCGCUAAAGAUUCAUCAACCUCUUCUUCCUUGAUUUCCACAGAAUGAAUCACCAAAGGUUCAACCUUUUCCUCCUUGAUUUCCACAGAGUGAAUCUUCUCAGCAUCUUCUGAUCCUUUAUCUUUCGAAAUCUUCGAUACAGGAGGGUUUUCAGGAAUGACAUCAUCCACAAUAACAGGCUCUUUAUCCAAUUCUUGGCCUUUGAUAACCUUUCCAGGAGGCAAGAAUGUGG